UACGAAGGGGGCUAGCGUUGUUCGGAAUUACUGGGCGUAAAGCGCGCGCAGGCGGUCUUCCAAGUCAGUGGUGAAAGCCCGGAGCUCAACUCCGGAACUGCCAUUGAAACUGUAAGACUUGAGGACGAGAGAGGUGAGUGGAAUUCCCAGUGUAGAGGUGAAAUUCGUAGAUAUUGGGAAGAACACCGGUGGCGAAGGCAGCCCCCUGGGCUGACACUGACGCUCAGGCACGAAAGCGUGGGGAGCAAACAGG
This 253-nucleotide ribosomal RNA is filed under the name uncultured bacterium. Its description in RNAcentral is "partial 16S ribosomal RNA". It matches the Rfam family "Bacterial small subunit ribosomal RNA", at positions 524 to 776 of the family's 1533-position model. The record is from RNAcentral.